Molecule: transfer RNA, 70 nt
Filed under: Acropora cervicornis
Lineage: Eukaryota; Metazoa; Cnidaria; Anthozoa; Scleractinia; Acroporidae
Description: tRNA-Ala
Rfam family: tRNA
About the family: Transfer RNA (tRNA) molecules are approximately 80 nucleotides in length.
Source: RNAcentral
GGCUUCUCAGCUCAGGUCGAGCAUCGCACCGGCAUCGCGGAGGUCACGGGUUCGAAUCCCGUUGAAGCCC